UACGUAGGGGGCAAGCGUUGUCCGGAAUCAUUGGGCGUAAAGCGCGUGUAGGCGGCCCGAUAAGUCCGCUGUGAAAGUCCAGGGCUCAACCCUGGAAUGCCGGUGGAUACUGUCGGGCUCGAAUCCGGAAGAGGUGAGUGGAAUUCCUGGUGUAGCGGUGAAAUGCGCAGAUAUCAGGAGGAACACCAAUGGCGAAGGCAGCUCACUGGGACGGUAUUGACGCUGAGACGCGAAAGCGUGGGAGCAAACAGG
Molecule: ribosomal RNA, 252 nt
Filed under: uncultured bacterium
Lineage: Bacteria
Description: partial 16S ribosomal RNA
Rfam family: Bacterial small subunit ribosomal RNA
Source: RNAcentral